This 230-nucleotide long non-coding RNA is filed under the name Panax ginseng (ginseng). RNAcentral describes it as "long non-coding RNA (PGIN_LNC014375)". Lineage: Eukaryota; Viridiplantae; Streptophyta; Magnoliopsida; Apiales; Araliaceae. The record is from RNAcentral.
AACAAACCCACCCGGUGGACUGCCGAGCUACAAGUCCUACGACACAGGAGCGGGAUUCUCUAAAAAGCCAAGGUCGUGGUUGGCCAAGAGGGCCCACUUGGAGACUUAGCCUUUCGCUCAAUACUAGAAUUGACAAUUGAAACAUAGCAUCUGAGGUUGCAUUAAUCGAGGAUACACGACAGAAGGAAUUGUUCUAUUUCCAAACUUUACCUUCAACAAGCGUAGAUUUA